This 1239-nucleotide ribosomal RNA is filed under the name metagenome. RNAcentral's name for it is "SSU rRNA". It matches the Rfam family "Eukaryotic small subunit ribosomal RNA", at positions 488 to 1753 of the family's 1831-position model. The record is from RNAcentral.
GAUCUCUUUGAGGCCCGUUAUCGGAAUGAGAACAAUUCAAAUCCUUUAACGAGGAUCUAGCGGAGGGCAAGUCUGGUGCCAGCAGCCGCGGUAAUUCCAGCUCCGCAGGUGUAUAUCUAUGCUGCUGCGGUUAAAAAGCUCGUAGUUGGAUCUGCGUGCUCGGAACUGGUUGGCUCACUGAGUUCAAACUGGUCUCCGGCGCUUUAUUGGCUGGUUUUCCCUUGAUGCUCUUAACCGGGUGCCUUGGUGGCUAGCACGUUUACUUUGAAAAAAUUAGAGUGCUCAAUACAGGCGUAAAGCCUUGAAUAGUGGUGCAUGGAAUAAUAGAAUAGGACCUCGGCUCUAUUUUGUUGGUUUUCGGAACGCGAGGUAAUGAUUAAGAGGGACAGACGGGGGCAUUCGUAUUGCGACGUUAGAGGUGAAAUUCUUGGAUCGUCGCAAGACGGACGACUGCGAAAGCAUUUGCCAAGAAUGUUUUCAUUAAUCAAGAACGAAAGUUAGAGGUUCGAAGGCGAUCAGAUACCGCCCUAGUUCUAACCGUAAACGAUGCCAACUAGCGAUUCGCAGGCGUUAAACAACGACCUUGCGGGCAGCUUCCCGGAAACGAAAGUGUUCGGGUUCCGGGGGAAGUAUGGUUGCAAAGCUGAAACUUAAAGGAAUUGACGGAAGGGCACCACCAGGAGUGGAGCCUGCGGCUUAAUUUGACCCAACACAGGAAAACUCACCCGGCCCGGACACCGUAAGGAUUGACAGAUUGAGAGCUCUUUCUUGAUUCGGUGGGUGGUGGUGCAUGGCCGUUCUUAGUUGGUGGAGCGAUUUGUCUGGUUUAUUCCGAUAACGAACGAGACUCUGGCCUACUAAAUAGUGGGCGGAUUCUUUCUGUCCGCAACACUUCUUAGAGGGACAAGCGGUGUUCAGCCGCACGAGAUUGAGCAAUAACAGGUCUGUGAUGCCCUUAGAUGUCCGGGGCUGCACGCGCGCUACACUGAAGGAAUCAGCGUGCUUUCUGACCUUGCCCGAAAGGGCUGGGUAACCCGAUGAAAAUCCUUCGUGAUUGGGAUAGGGACUUGCAAUUAUUUCCCUUGAACGAGGAAUUCCCAGUAAGUGUGGGUCAUAAGCUCGCGUUGAUUACGUCCCUGCCCUUUGUACACACCGCCCGUCGCUGCCCGGAACUGAGCCGUUUCGAGAAGAACAGGGACCGUCGUUGAAGGACCUUAACGGGCUUUUCUCUGAUAGAAA